AUUUACAGUAAGCAGUUGCUUCAAUUUCAGUCACCACCUCCUAAAGCUAUUUCUCCCAAGAGGCCAUCCUUUGCAGCUGAAAACAAGCAGGUGAAUAAAGAUAGUAGCAAGAAAGACACUUUUGAUGAGGAAAGUGAAGAUGGGGAGCCUCAGAAAAAGAAGAGUAAAGUUGUGCCUGUGCAAC
Coffea arabica (coffee) is the source of this 184-nucleotide non-coding RNA. NCBI's taxonomy places the organism in Eukaryota, Viridiplantae, Streptophyta, Magnoliopsida, Gentianales, Rubiaceae. The record is from RefSeq and is a predicted model, not a curated record.